UACGGGGGGGGCAAGCGUUGUUCGGAAUUACUGGGCGUAAAGGGCUCGUAGGCGGCCAACUAAGUCAGACGUGAAAUCCCUCGGCUUAACCGGGGAACUGCGUCUGAUACUGGAUGGCUUGAGUUCGGGAGAGGGAUGCGGAAUUCCAGGUGUAGCGGUGAAAUGCGUAGAUAUCGAGAGGAACACCUGCGGCGAAGGCGGGUUGCUGGGCCGACACUGACGCUGAUGCGCGAAAGCCAGGGGAGCGAACGGG
RNAcentral lists this ribosomal RNA (253 nucleotides) under uncultured bacterium. Its description in RNAcentral is "partial 16S ribosomal RNA". It matches the Rfam family "Bacterial small subunit ribosomal RNA", at positions 524 to 776 of the family's 1533-position model. The record is from RNAcentral.